GUUACAAAACCAUGCAUUAGUUUCAUCUUGGAGGCCCGUCCAUUCACACGUGCCUUACAUACCAUUCAUGAGUAAACCGGUUCCUUUGAAAGAGAAACCAUGACUGGUAGAAAAAUAUUAAUAUGGAAUCUCUCAGUUUGGCCAGAAGAUUUUCCGUAAGGACCUGUUCUUGAACUUGGCUAAGGUUAGUUACCACCCGUUUCUGUAAUGACCUGUCACAAUGAUGAUGGCUGGAGUUGGAACCAACUCAGAGUGGAACGAAACCAUCAUUCUGAUACGAUUCUCGAUUGAAGGUGGACGAUCAUGUGGUUCAGUUCAGUUGCAGUCGUUUGGAUAGUUACGGUUAUCGUACAACUUGGUAGUGCUAUGGGUGCCGAGAAAACGAUCGCUGAUAAUGAAGUUUAUGUUAAAAAAUUAAUCAAUAAACAUAAUGUGGAUCACUACUUGUUUUCAUAUUCGUUGAGUGAUGGCCAGUUUCGAUAUGAACGAGGACGUUUUAAAACAUUCUUGGAUGAAAGCAAAGUGCCAGUGUGGUUCGUUACGGGAAGAUACGGAUACAAGUUAAGUAAUGGGAAGCUGAUCGCCUAUAAAUAUAUUGCUGAUGAGAACGGCUUCAGACAACAAAAACUUGGUGAAAAUGAUGAUAUUGAAGAUUUUGGAACCGUUGGAAACAGAAUAGAUCCGAAGACAUUGGCAUCAUUAGUAGGGUGAAUAAGUUGUUAGCACAUUUUUGUCGAAAUAUAUUAUUUGUUGUAGCAAAUUA
Aedes aegypti (yellow fever mosquito) is the source of this 763-nucleotide long non-coding RNA. RefSeq lists it as uncharacterized. The record is from RefSeq and is a predicted model, not a curated record. The transcript is spliced from 3 exons. Lineage: Eukaryota; Metazoa; Arthropoda; Insecta; Diptera; Culicidae.